ACUGAAGCAGUUAUAAGAAUAUAGACAUAUUCCACUCAGUCGGAGUGUUCAUAAAGUUGGUUUACUGACAACUAUACGCGAUAUUAAGCACCAUACUAUAUCUCAGCAACAUGCAUAUGUUUGAAUGGAGUUCAUGAAAGCCAUCAUCUACCACAGUCAUUCAUCUGGACUUCAAGUCUGCCCUGCUGGGAAGUAGGUCACCACCUCUACACUGGGCCACUGUCAAGAUCCAAAAUGUGCUAAAACUUAGUCACCACUCUAUUUGGUAGCAAUCCAAAGUGGACCAAAACAUUUCCUAAGUAAUACCAAGGUCAAAAAUAUAAUGUCGAUAUGUCAAAUUUUGAUCUCUGUGAGUGGAUACUAGUAAAUGGAGAGUUGUUAUGAGUAGGAUGAGAGGAAAGUUGUUGGUUGUUUCAUAAAAGCAAAGAAAAUUA
Molecule: long non-coding RNA, 434 nt
Filed under: Homo sapiens (human)
Lineage: Eukaryota; Metazoa; Chordata; Mammalia; Primates; Hominidae
Description: long non-coding RNA NONHSAT191277.1
Source: RNAcentral